This 1617-nucleotide ribosomal RNA is filed under the name human metagenome. RNAcentral's name for it is "bacterial LSU rRNA". It matches the Rfam family "Bacterial large subunit ribosomal RNA", at positions 473 to 2090 of the family's 2925-position model. The record is from RNAcentral.
CUCGUAAGAGACCGAUAGCGAACCAGUACCGUGAGGGAAAGGUGAAAAGCACCUCUGUCAGAGGAGUGAAAAAGUUCCUGAAACCGUACGCCUACAAGCGGUCGGAGCAACGUAAGUUGUGACGGCGUGCCUUUUGCAUAAUGAACCUACGAGUUGCCGUCGUCGGCAAGGUUAAGCGCAAUGAUGCGCGCAACCGAAGCGAAAGCGAGUCUGAAUAGGGCGCAUAGUCGGCGGUGGCAGACGCGAAACCAAGUGAUCUACCCUUGUCCAGGUUGAAGUCCCGGUAACACGGGAUGGAGGACCGAACCAAUAAGCGUUGAAAAGCUUCUGGAUGAGGUGAGGGUAGGAGUGAAAGGCCAAUCAAACUUGGAGAUAGCUCGUACUCCCCGAAAUGCAUUUAGGUGCAGCCUCGGGCGUUCCCUGUGUGAGGUAGAGCGACUGAUUGGAUGCGAGGGCUUCACCGCCUAUCAAGUCCAGACAAACUCCGAAUGCACACAGGCUAAGCCCGGGAGUGAGGGCGUGGGUGCUAAGGUCCACGCCCGAGAGGAGAAGAAUCCUGAUCACCGGCUAAGGCCCCGAAAUCCGGGCUAAGUUAAACUAACGAAGUGUGGUCCCCGUGACAGCUAGGAUGUUGGCUUGGAAGCAGCCAUUCAUUCAAAGAGUGCGUAACAGCUCACUAGUCGAGGGACCGUGCAUGGAUAAUAAUCGGGUAUUAAGCCCGGUGCCGAAGCCGUGGGAUGUCUUAAUGACAUCGGUAGGGGAGCAUUCAUGCGGCCUUGAAGCUCGAGGGACAACCUCGGGUGGAGCUUCAUGAAAAGCAAAUGUAGGUAUAAGUAACGAUAAAGAGUGUGAGAUGCACUCUCGCCGAAAGACUAAGGUUUCCGGGGCAACGUUAAUCGGCCCCGGGUCAGUCGGGACCUAAGGCUCAUCCUAAUGGAGAGGCCGAUGGCAGAAACGGUUAAUAUUCCGUUACUAUCUAUUGGGGCGAUGUGGAGACGGAGGAGUGACACUUCCGCGAGCUGACGGAAUAGCUCGUUAAAGACCGUAGGUGUUGAGGAUGGCAGGCAAAUCCACCAUCCGAGCUGAAAGUCGAUAGUAUGCAGCGUCUUCGGACAAUGCAAUAGCGAAGGUAAUCCUACUCCCGAGAAAAUCCGCUAAGCUUAACCCUUUAGAUACCCGUACCGCAAACGGACACACGUAGUCGGGUAGAAUAUACUAAGGCGCUUGGAAGAUUCAUGGUUAAGGAACUAGGCAAAUUGACCCCGUACGUUCGCAAUAAGGGGUCCUCGUCGCAAGGCGAGGCGCAGAGAAUAGGUCCAGGCAACUGUUUAACAAAAACACAGGGCUGUGCAAACUCGAAAGAUGAGGUAUACAGCCUGACACCUGCCCGGUGCCGGAAGGUUAAGAGGAGAGCUUAGAGGCAACUCGAAGGUUUGAAUUGAAGCCCCGGUAAACGGCGGCCGUAACUAUAACGGUCCUAAGGUAGCGAAAUUCCUUGUCGGGUAAGUUCCGACCUGCACGAAUGGUGUAAUGAUCUGGACGCUGUCUCAACCAUGAUUCCAGUGAAAUUGUAGUAUCGGUGAAGAUGCCGAUUACCCGCGAUGGGACGAAAAGACC